UGGCUGGGGGCUACUCGUCGCUGGCGGGCAGCCGGGAGGCCGAGAGGGCUCUGAUAAAGAUCAAAACCAGAUUCCUGGCAAAGCAGGAGCAAGGAUGGCAAUAAACUGCCUGGAGUGCUUCCUGCCUUCUCGCAGAGAUUCUGCAUGAACCCUUCCGGAUCGCUUGUCUUCGCCGCGCUUUGUGUGGGUGCUUCUACUUCCAGCCGAUUCUCAUCAUUCAUGGCAGUUAUGUUCUACAAAGUCCCUGCGCACCCGGAACCAUUGUUUCUGGGGGAAAUGCAAGGGUAGGUUCCUGGGAGCCCCUGGUGACAUUUUCAUCAACCCAUCAAUACAUAACCUUGUUGUCA
This is a long non-coding RNA of Callorhinus ursinus (northern fur seal), 347 nucleotides long. RefSeq lists it as uncharacterized. NCBI's taxonomy places the organism in Eukaryota, Metazoa, Chordata, Mammalia, Carnivora, Otariidae. The record is from RefSeq and is a predicted model, not a curated record.